This 253-nucleotide ribosomal RNA is filed under the name uncultured bacterium. RNAcentral describes it as "partial 16S ribosomal RNA". It matches the Rfam family "Bacterial small subunit ribosomal RNA", at positions 524 to 776 of the family's 1533-position model. The record is from RNAcentral.
UACGUAGGGGGCAAGCGUUGUCCGGAUUUAUUGGGCGUAAGGAGCGUGUAGGCGGUCUGGUAGGUCCGUUGUGAAAACUCGAGGCUCAACCUCGAGACGCCGAUGGAAACCCUCAGACUAGAGUCCGGUAGGGGGGUGUGGAAUUCCCAGUGUAGCGGUGAAAUGCGCAGAUAUUGGGAGGAACACCAAUGGCGAAGGCAGCACCCUGGGCCGGUACUGACGCUGAGGAGCGAAAGCGUGGGGAGCAAACAGG